This is a long non-coding RNA of Oncorhynchus keta (chum salmon), 381 nucleotides long. RefSeq lists it as uncharacterized. The transcript is spliced from 3 exons. The record is from RefSeq and is a predicted model, not a curated record. NCBI's taxonomy places the organism in Eukaryota, Metazoa, Chordata, Actinopteri, Salmoniformes, Salmonidae.
GUUAUGUUGACCAUGUUCAUUAGAUGUAGGAUUGGUUAUGUUGACCAUGUUCAUUAGAUGUAGGUUGGUUAUGUUGACCAUGUUCAUUAGAUGUAGGUCGGUUAUGUUGACCAUGUUCAUUAUAUGUAGGUUGGUUAUGUUGACCAUGUUCAUUAGAUGUAGGUUGGUUAUGUUGACCAUGUUCAUUAGAUGUAGGAUCGGUUAUGUUGACCAUGUUCAUUAGAUGUAGGAUCGUUUAUGUUGACCAUGUUCAUUAUAUGUAGGAUCGGUUAUGUUGACCAUGUUCAUUAGAUGUAGGAUCGGUUAUGUUGACCAUGUUCAUUAGAUGUAGGAUCGGUUAUGUUGACCAUGUUCAUUAGAUGUACGUCGGUUAUGUUGACC